GACGAACGCUGGCGGCGCGCCUAACACAUGCAAGUCGAACGGGAUCUUUUAGGAGUGCUUGCACUCUUGGCUGAUCUAGUGGCGGACGGGUGAGUAACACGUGAGCAACCUGCCCUGGAGUGGGGGAUAACGUCUGGAAACGGACGCUAAUACCGCAUAACGUUGGAGGACGGCAUCGUCUUUCAACCAAAGGAGAAAUCCGCUUUGGGAUGGGCUCGCGCCCGAUUAGAUAGUUGGUGAGGUAAUGGCUCACCAAGUCUGCGAUCGGUAGCCGGACUGAGAGGUUGAACGGCCACAUUGGGACUGAGACACGGCCCAGACUCCUACGGGAGGCAGCAGUGGGGGAUAUUGCACAAUGGGGGAAACCCUGAUGCAGCGACGCCGCGUGAGUGAAGACGGCCUUCGGGUUGUAAAGCUCUGUUGUGGGGGACGAAACAAAUGACGGUACCCCAUCAGAAAGCCACGGCUAACUACGUGCCAGCAGCCGCCGUAAUAC
RNAcentral lists this ribosomal RNA (496 nucleotides) under uncultured bacterium. RNAcentral describes it as "bacterial SSU rRNA". It matches the Rfam family "Bacterial small subunit ribosomal RNA", at positions 28 to 526 of the family's 1533-position model. The record is from RNAcentral.